GACGAACGCUGGCGGCGUGCCUAAUACAUGCAAGUCGAACGCUGAAGGAGGAGCUUGCUUCUCCGGAUGAGUUGCGAACGGGUGAGUAACGCGUAGGUAACCUGCCUGGUGGCGGGGGAUAACUAUUGGAAACGAUAGCUAAUACCGCAUAACAGUAGAUGUUGCAUGACAUUUGCUUAAAAGGUGCAAUUGCAUCACUACCAGAUGGACCUGCGUUGUAUUAGCUAGUUGGUGAGGUAACGGCUCACCAAGGCGACGAUACAUAGCCGACCUGAGAGGGUGAUCGGCCAAAAUGGGACUGAGAACAGGCCCAGACUCCUACGGGAGGCAGCAGUAGGGAAUCUUCGGCAAUGGACGGAAGGCUGACCGAGCAACGCCGCGUGAGUGAAGAAGGGUUUCGGAUCGUAAAGCUCUGUUGUAAGAGAAGAACGAGUGUGAGAGUGGAAAGUUCACACUGUGACGGUAUCUUACCAGAAAGGGACGGCUAACUACGUG
RNAcentral lists this ribosomal RNA (495 nucleotides) under uncultured bacterium. RNAcentral describes it as "partial 16S ribosomal RNA". It matches the Rfam family "Bacterial small subunit ribosomal RNA", at positions 28 to 507 of the family's 1533-position model. The record is from RNAcentral.